Molecule: ribosomal RNA, 238 nt
Filed under: uncultured bacterium
Lineage: Bacteria
Description: partial 16S ribosomal RNA
Rfam family: Bacterial small subunit ribosomal RNA
Source: RNAcentral
UGAGCAAUCUGCCCUUCUCUUUUGGAAUAAAGCGUUGGAAACGACGUCUAAUGCCGAAUACGACCUCCUUUCGCAUGAUCGGAGGUGGAAAGCUCCGGCGGAGAAGGAUGAGCUCGCGGCCUAUCAGCUAGUUGGUGUGGGUAAUGGCCCACCAAGGCGACGACGGGCAGCCGGCCUGAGAGGGUCGACCGGCCACACGUGGGACUGAGACACGGCCCAGACCUCCGUACGGGAGCAG